RNAcentral lists this transfer RNA (77 nucleotides) under Nitrospira sp. RNAcentral's name for it is "tRNA-Arg". It matches the Rfam family "tRNA". From Rfam's summary of the family: Transfer RNA (tRNA) molecules are approximately 80 nucleotides in length. Lineage: Bacteria; Pseudomonadati; Nitrospirota; Nitrospiria; Nitrospirales; Nitrospiraceae. The record is from RNAcentral. RNAcentral also lists the same sequence under 3 other names.
GCGCCCGUAGCUCAAUUGGAUAGAGUAUUGGACUUCGAAUCCAAGGGUUACAGGUUCGAUUCCUGUCGGGCGCACCA